CUUGAACGCACAUCUUGUGAUUGUAAUGAGAUAAAAUUACGAUAGUGCUUUUUAUAAACAAAUGUUAUGUUGAAAUGAGAUUAAAAGGUGUUUAAUAAGACUGAAUCAGCAAAAUGUAUCGGAAAAUUUUGUGGUGUUACGUAUUUUUAUUGACAUCAUUUGAUAUAUCUCCUUACUCGAAGUUGACAGCCCAGGGGAAGAGCCAUGGUGCUUCAGUGCAAGAUUCUAUCACAGAAGGGAUUGCAUUUCAAGAAUGGGGCGCAGACUCCAUGUCAGUGGACAGCAACGAGGCUGGCGAGGGCGUGGAAGGUGUGGCGCUCUGGCCACCAGCUUUACACUUCGGGCGCUCCGCCCUCGCAGAGCCGCACACACAAUUAGUUACGCUAACGAAUAUGGCAAACACAACGUUGCACCUCGCUUCUGUGGCGGGGACUACGCCGGACUUCCACGCUUCGUUCUUUGAUUCCAAGUCAGUACCACCUCAGGGCAAUACAAGCUUCAGUGUGGUGUACCUGGGGCGGCGGGAGGGCCUCGUCACAGCUCACCUUUACAUACAUACUUCGCUUGGAGUACACAAAUAUCCGGUGUCAGCGAUAGGCGUGGCCAGUGAAUAUGACGUUUGGCCACUUGUUGGAUUGCGUGUGCCUCACAAUGCAUCUGUCGAACCGGAGCUCACCUUGUAUAAUCCCACCGAUAAAAAUAUACAGGUGAGCGAAGUUUACUCGUCUGGCGGAUGGCUAGGUCUUCGCCUCGCUAGUGGGGAGUCCAGAGCCCCUCGCGAUAUCUGGACCAUCCCCCCCAGAGAAAGGCGGGCGCUCGUCCGAUUAAGGAUUUCUCCAACUCACAAACAGCCCUUGGCUGCGUAUGUGCGGAUCAAGGCGAACAUCCCGGGAGGUGGAUUAGUAGUGUGCGUGGAAGCCCGUAGUGCACCACCCGGGGAACACACACGACCGCUGCACUUGAGGCUUCGCCCACGGGGCUCCAAUGACCCUGAGCAUUCUGUGUUCGUGGAAGCGGCGAACAGUGCAGCAUCUGGCGUGAGGCUAGACGCAGCUCUAGACGCGGCCAGCUGCUGGAGAACCGCACCAGCACCUCCGCCGCCUUGUGCGCAUGCGCAUGUCGCUAAUGGUGGAGCAGACGUCCAUAGUGGAGCACACUUGACAGUGCUCAAGUCACAUUUGGAGCCGUUUGAGGACUUCACCAGAGUCGCGAAACUCACAUUUAACUAUGCAGAGCUUUGGGCGUUGUCCCGCCAGAAGGUGGACGAGCAAAGCAACGGCGAGAGCAAAGAGGGCGUGGCCUGGUGCGGGGGCUGCGUGCGCCUGGGCAAGGCCUCCGUGCCAUACAGCCUCACGCUCUUGCCCGGGACGCUCGCCUUUCAACCGGAUACGCUCGAUAUAAUAACGUCUGAUGAGAAGACAGCGUUCAAAGAGCGUGAAGUCUUCGCCCACAAUCAGUUUGAGGCGCCGAUUCGUAUCACUGCGGUGCAUCUGCCUGACGAGGUGUUGCCAUUUUUUGAGGUUAAAGGAAACACGCCCCUGGUGCUAAACCCGGGCGACUUGGGCUCGCUCCUCACGCUGCGUCUCCAUACGUUGCCGGAUACGAUUGACACGCGUAUAACAGUACACACGAAUCUCUCGCAGUAUCAUAUACCGCUGCGGCUUUAUAAUGGCAAUUUUUCAUUUGAAUGGGAUUGGCCCAAUUCGGAUGGAAAUUUGGACUUGGGCGUGGUCGGUACGUCGACGACGUGGCGCGUAGGUCUGCGCCUGCGCAACCGCGCCUGCGUCGAACUGUGCGUCACCGGCCUAAGUGCCACGUUGCCGGGGGCCUCUGCCACGCUCACUAAUGCUGCACCGCAAUGCGUCCCGCCCUACGGCUGGUCGAAAGCCUGGUUGCGUGUGGUAGCACCAGCCCGAGAAGGCGUUGUGGUGGGUUCGAUUCGUGCUCAAACAGCGUACGCGUUCACGCACGCGACGCUGACGCUACGAGCGCACAGCGGACGACUUGCGGCCAUAUCGCCAGUGUUGCCAGCUGCCGCACCUUACGCGGGUGCGGUGGCGCCUCUUGUCGUAGACAGCACGAUGUCUCUUUGGAUGAGGGUUACAGGGGUGUCAUACGUCGACACACACACACAGGACGCACUCAAAUUUGUCCCACUGGACAGCACAGAGGUUGGACCAGGUCGACAUACUGUGGGACACAUUCAUUAUGAACCUGAGAAACUGUGCGAACCCAAUUGCUAUACGGGACUGCCUUUGGACUCUUCGGCUGGUCUGUUGUGGCUGGAGAGAUCCAAGGGAAACAACUGGGCGGACACAAUCCGUGCAGACAUACAUGCGUUGCAGACACGCCUGGAACAAUUUGGGAAUAGUUUGACUCACACAAAUUACUCUAUAUAUCUACAUACGACACAGGUGAUACAAACACCUGUCGACGUCAUGAUAGAACAUACGUGGCCACGCCUUAUCGUUAGCAGUGGUGUUGUCGACCCCAAUGCUACAAGCUCCCUUAAAAAUGGAGAAAGUGGGGUAAAUGGAGCAAGUGAGGCUAAGGAGUUGGGGGGCGUGGGUCUGGUCCCUGUUGGGGGGCGGGGGCUCGUGUGGCUGCGCGUUCGCAAUCCUUCGAGUAAACCGAUUUUGGUGCAGCCCGCCUUGGCCCCUACGAUCACUGACGGCUUGCCUAAAGAGGCGGGCGGUGAAUCGAGCUGGUGUAAAUCUACCUCCUGUGUCUGGUCGGACUCCUUCUCAAUAGAGGAGUGGAGGGGGGUGAAGGGGGAGGCGAGGUCGUGGGAGGGGGACGUGGUGUGGCUCGAGCCGCGGGCGGAGGUGGACGUGCGUGUGAACUUCACACCUAAGCAGGCUGCCAGUUUGACUACGUAUUUGUAUUUAAGAAAUAAUUUGACGAUAUUAGAAGGAGUACAGUUGAACGGUGUGGGGGCGGUGCCGAGCUUUGAUUUGGGCGGAAGGCGACCUGGACCAUCCUCCAUAUUUCAUUUUGAGGUGGAAGAGUGUGUGUCGAGCACCCGUUCCGCUGUAGUGCGACGACGCAUAGUUGCUCGUAACACUGGUAGAGUUUCCAUCCACCUACACGGGUGGGACAUUUCUCGCCAAGGGUGCCGCGGACGGGGCUUCCGCGUCUACCCCUGUGCCCCCUUAACCCUCGCCCCCAAUCAGACCGCCCCCAUACACCUCGCGUUCACCCCGGACUACACCCUUUCCCGCCAAUCCGCAAAGCUCCGGCUCCUUUCCGACCUAGGUCCCGUCGAGUACACCCUACUGGCCACCGUUCCCGUCAAACUCCUGACCCGCUGCGCCCCCACGUUCCCGAAACACCCAUGGGACGCCCCAAUCCGGAACUUCGUCAAUACACUCACAUUUAUAAUACUUGCCGUUCUCCUAUUCACCGCCGUGUACGACUCCGAGCGACUCCUGCGCAGGGCGAGAUCCACCCGAGCGCCAUCUAUCCGCCCCCCCUUAGAUCUGCGAGAAAUCGCGGCGACCACCACGGUCACCCAACCGCCACCCCCCAGAGCCCCUCCCUCGAGGCGAAAGCGCCCCACCAGAAGAACAGACCCACGCGCAGAAAGGAUAGCCUUCGAAAGAUGGCGCACGGAAGUUCUGAGACGCACAGACGACGAUUCCUCCCGAUCCAGUGAGGAUCUGGAGGAGAAAGAAAAGAAGGAAGAGGUGGUCGAAAAGGAGCCAGAGAAACCGGAGGAGAUAGAGGCGUCCAGCGCGUCCGACGAAUCCACUCAGGUGGACGAGCAGGACAACGAUGAAGCUUAUACGGCAGAUGCGGAAUUGGACGCGCGCGACUCGCCCGAAGAAACCAUAGUGGAGCCAAAAAUAAGCCCCAUCAGGACGCAAUCUCCUCCCAAGGUUCAAGUUGCCCGACGCUCCCCUAACAAUCGGCGGGAGAGGCGAAACGACGAGACUGUCAGGAAGAACACUCGGCCACAUGUGAGGAAGGAAAAACGCCGAGCGCAGCGGGCUGCAACUCCCCCGAGGUCCGUCGCCGUGAAGGAGAACGUUGAACCGGGAGAGAUUGGGGAAAGCAGGGGCAAUGUCCGCUGGGGGGCGUCGUGGAGCUCGGUCGUCGCGGGGCCCCCGCUUGCCCCCAUCGGGUCGGACGUCCGUAGGCGGGAGAAUAAUACUGAUAACUCCCUGUUUUAUUAUAAUGGAGCACCGGAGCCGCCGAGGCCGGAGCCCGAGUUCGCCUGGAGGCCUGCGAUCGGAACACCUGAGCGGUUGCCGUUUACGCCGUCCACGUCUGCUAGAGAUUUCCUUGACGAGACCCCAACAUUCAACAAUAUAGGGUCCGUAUGGGGGGCAAACAAUGCUUGGUGUUGGGGUGGCGCCCCCAUGCGUCCGCCCCCCGGCUUCGCCCAACAGGCCCCUCGCCCCUAUGACCCGUUCCGUUCUUUGGCUUCCAUUUGGGCCCCUGCCCCCCACGAUUGGCACAUCAAUCCCCCCAACGAUGAUGAACAGAACAACUAAAUUAUCGUUUAUAGUCAGUUAUAUCUAAGUAACUUAAAACUUAUUAACUAAAUGUCGACUUUUGCAUACUUAAAGGGGAAUCCCAUCGUACCCCAAGAAUAAGUCGUGCCAAAGAAUAAGUCGUGCCCCAAAAAUAAAUCGUGCCCUUAAGAAUAAAUCAUGCCCUUAAGAAUGAUCAUGCCCCAAAUAUAAAGCAAGUACCAGAUCAAACCCGAUAUAUAUAUAUAUUCUGUGGAAACGAAAUAUUCAUCUGUUGUUGACUGCAAACAUUGCACAGAUUAUGCUAAAAAUAAAGUUGUCAAAAUAAGUUAUAACGUUACUGAGAUACUAACUGCUAUAAACGGUACUACGGUUAUACGGCAAUGUAAGAUAAAUGUAAUUUUAAGAUAAGUAAAAAAGAAACUCAACCACUAUUUGAAUUGCCAUUAUAAUCGUGUCCUUGUAAAAUAUAGCUUAAUUUGUGUUAAAUCCUGAGUAAAAUUGAUCACUGGUUGGUCACAGAUAAUAACAACGGAUAGAUUAUUUACUGAACUAAAUGUCAAAACAUGUUUAUGAAAGUCUGACAAACAACGCAUCACACACAGACGAUACCUUUCAGCUGUCAAUUUGACAUUGACGUAUACAAAAAUUAUGCUGUCGUUAAGUUUCCGUAAGGUUUUAGUUUCAAGCUAUAUUUUACAAGGUAAGGUGACCUCGCUUUUACAAUGGACUCUGAUAUUAAAGUUUAUUAAAUGUUGUAACAGAAGAUGUGUUUGGUGAUGUCUAGUCAUGGUUUCACAUCACCGGGCCAUUAUCAAAUGUGAACAAACCGAUGUAAUAUGUCCGUUCUCGAAUGAAGUUUGACAAUUGACUUUUAGAAAUUGGCGGGAAAAACUGAUUGGGAAAUAUAAACUCAGCUUGUGUUUGAAAUAUUUUUACCGAUAAAUCGAAUUGUUAAACGCAUCUCGAAAUUUUACCGCGAACUAGACAAGAUGGCGGAUUUUGAUCAGCUGUUUAUUUAAAGUAAUAUAACAAUUUUUUUUAAAAACGUGAUUUAAUGAUUGUCUGAGACAAUUAUUUUAGUUAAUUAGGAGGCACACGAUACGAUUUCAUCGGUAAGAACUUUUAAACUUGUUAAAUAACAUUUUUCAUUUACCAUUCGCAAUCACUACGUGUCGUUUUGUUUAGGAUUCAUAUAUGGAAACUUUCUAAAAUCUUUUAGAAGACUUCUUUCAAGAAACCGACAUAAAAUACAGUGAAAUGACAAGUCAUGUGUAAUUUGUUCCAUAGAUAUUGUUUUUGUAAUUGAACAAACUUAUUGUUACAGAUUGUAUGUUACAACUAAAAUAAACUUUGCUACAAAUGAAGUUUUUUUAAUGGCUCCACAGAUAAUACUCAUGUCGUGACCGUAUUUCAAAACGUCAACAAGUCAAAAAUUCAUUGCAAUUGAUUCUCUGAAAAAUUCUAAAUUUAAAAUAUUUGGAAUUUUGACAAUUCAAAACAAACCUUCCCAACAUCAAUCCUUUUGAUUUAAAUCAAGAGGUAUAAAAUUAAUUCAUGUUUCGUAUAGUCACAAUUUAGACUAGGUAUAUAUUUUUAUAUUAUACAGCCAUUUCUAUUCCGUGUAAGCUGUCUAACGUGAUAAAAUAGGAAGAAACUUACUAACAUUGCUAGUUUAUUAAUUUAUUUUGAUAGGACGCCAUAUUGAAAGCGUCUUGUGUUAAAAUGGCGCCAAUGAUAGAUUAAAGGAUUACGAUUUUAUAUAACUGUAGUCUGUGACUUGUAUACGUUUUGAAGUACGAGCCUUAUACCUAUUUGCACUAAAUAUUGGGCAAAAUUUAAGGUUCCUAAUUAAGUUAAUUUAGGUUAAAUUAGUUUUAAAAUUUGUGUUUUUUUUCUUUUUUUUAUGUUCUUACUGUCAUAAUGGAUUUAGUGCAAAUGGGCGUGUGUUAGUAAUACCAUAACCGAAAGGCAAGAUGUUUUAAAAAACCGAGAAUUGUAAUUGCGUCAUUGCCUUGUCAAAUGUUUAACAAUGCAAAUUGAUAAGUCUUGCUUUUACGAUAAUGGACAUAUAUUGUUACCACGUAAUAGAUAAAUAGGAAAUGUUGUCACCACAAGCUAAACCAGAUUAAACUUCAUAGAUUUUGAUUUGGAGUCUACCCAUUACAUUGCCUCGUGGACGUACUAGGAAAAUAUCAGGCGCAAAAAAGGCCAAUAUACGUCGUUGGUGACCAAACGGUCGAACAUAGUAUAUGGAAAUACGAAGAAUACUUUUGACUUGACAGUGUAAUGUGGAGACUGCCCAAAUGUGAAAUUUGAAUUAAAGCGGCAAUAUUGGUUCCCAUUAAUUAGCCCAAAGGCACUUCCAAUCCUAUUUAUCAAUUCCGUAAAGCUCUACCAUGUCAAUGCGUCUGUCUCUGUAUGAAAAAUGUUAGAAUAUCCUGUCUUUUAACGUGCUUGCGAAAGCAUCGCUGGUCCAUAUAUAAUAUUGAGUUCAAUAUUAUACAGCCUUGACUAAUUUUUAUAUUAUGUUAUAAUUUCGUGACAUUUCAAGCCAACCACCAUAGACCACUUAGGUCAAUUGCGUGAUUGUUUCUAUUUUUUCUAAAAACAUUUUUCAGAUUGACAUUGACAUUAACAAUUAAUCCCUUCAAAUCUAUGGUAGUGCCACCGUCUAUUAACAAUAAUAUUAAUGUAACACUGAUUGGGUGGAAUUUGAGAGCUGCUUAGCUGAUAGUAGAAUCUCACUUGGCGUAUGAACUCAGCCGGAGCCGAGAGGUCUAACCGAGCGCUCUCACGCGAGCCCCCCGCCCGAACGUGAAGAACCCGAGAUGCUGCAGGGUUUUCCUGGAUAUCCUUCCAUUGAUGACAAUGUAGCACCGUACAAUCAAUUGAAGAUCUUAUUAAGAAU
Pieris brassicae (large cabbage white) is the source of this 7386-nucleotide RNA transcript. It is a transcript of the gene named transmembrane protein 131, with no coding region annotated. NCBI's taxonomy places the organism in Eukaryota, Metazoa, Arthropoda, Insecta, Lepidoptera, Pieridae. The record is from RefSeq and is a predicted model, not a curated record. The transcript has 23 exons.